This is a long non-coding RNA of Aedes albopictus (Asian tiger mosquito), 1179 nucleotides long. RefSeq lists it as uncharacterized. NCBI's taxonomy places the organism in Eukaryota, Metazoa, Arthropoda, Insecta, Diptera, Culicidae. The transcript is spliced from 4 exons. The record is from RefSeq and is a predicted model, not a curated record.
AUGGGUAAAUUAUAUUUACCUAUAUAUGGAUGAAAAAAAUAAACAUGAUUGAGCGGCAAACUCGCAAGUGCUGUAUUUAUUUUUACGGAGGAAGUUUUGAAGAUUCAAAGUUAAAGUUUUAUGGUUUUAUUGCUUAAUCGCGGUUCAAUCGAUAGCCUGCCUGUUGUACAGGCCAAGAAGCUUGUCGCCAACUUUCCGAUGAACACCAGCCAAAGUGAAAGAGGUCCAAAUCGGCCCUUCUGAACGCGCUCAGAAUGGUCAACAUUCUCGUCUACGAUUUGUCUUGGAGCUGUCUUGGUCCGGCGAGACAACUACCGGUGUCCCCUUGUUGAAUUGCCCAGUCCGGCGGAAAAUCCCUUCAGAACCAUCUACCCCCAGCGAGAACUACACUGGAAACGUCUGGUCCGACAGAAUAAGCUCCCGGUAAGGCUCCCGGAUUAAUACCCUCAACGAUAGCCUGCUAUCUGGCCAAGGAAUCGUCAGCAACUUUCCGAUGAGCGCCUGUCGAAUUGAAGUACCCAGAUCCAAAUCGGUCCUUCUGGACGGGCUGAGAAUCGAUCCGACGGAACAACUUUUUGCGUCCCCGUCUUGUUGGAAUGGCCCAGUUCGGCAGAAACCCCCUUCCGGAACAGGAACGUCCCCGGUGAACUCCAGCCGAAUUGAAAGACGUCCAAAUCGGUUCUUCCGGACACGCUGGGAACGGUCUGGCGGAACAACAUUCCCGCCUACGAUUUGUCCUUGGAAUUAUUAUGUCCAGCGGAACAAUUAUCGGUGUCCCCGUCUUUUUGGAAUCGCCCGGUCCAGCGGAAAACCCCUUCCAUAACAGAAAUAUCACUGACUACCCCCAGCGAGAACCGCGCUGGAAACGUCAGGUAUAGCAGAAUAAGCUUCCGGAUUGAAACCCUCAACGAUAGCCACUAGGUCAAGAAACUGUCGGCAACUUUCCGGUGAACUUCUAUCGAAUUGAAGAAGGUUCAAAUCGGUCCCUCUGGACGGGCUGAGAUUAACCGAUCCGGCCGGACAACUUUUGGCGUCCCCGUCUUGUUGGAAUACCUAGCUGGGUCCGGCGGAAAAUCCCUAUCGGUAUUGAAACCAGAGAAGAAUACGGAAAUAAGAAGUGAGCGCGGCUUACCACGUGAUUAGAUAUGUGAAUAUAUAAAUAAAAGAUAAAACGCGUUA